CCUAGCUUUUGUUGGGUGGAUGAGUGGCGAACGGGUGAGUAACACGUGAGUAACCUGCCCCCUUCUUUGGGAUAACGCCCGGAAACGGGUGCUAAUACUGGAUAUUCACUGAUCUUCGCAUGGGGGUUGGUGGAAAGGUUUUUUCUGGUGGGGGAUGGGCUCGCGGCCUAUCAGCUUGUUGGUGGGGUGAUGGCCUACCAAGGCUUUGACGGGUAGCCGGCCUGAGAGGGUGACCGGUCACAUUGGGACUGAGAUACGGCCCAGACUCCUACGGGAGGCAGCAGUGGGGAAUAUUGCACAAUGGGCGAAAGCCUGAUGCAGCGACGCCGCGUGAGGGAUGGAGGCCUUCGGGUUGUAAACCUCUUUCGCUCAUGGUCAAGCCGCAACAUUGGUUGUGGUGAGGGUAGUGGGUAAAGAAGCGCCGGCUAACUACGUGCCAGCAGCCGCGGUAAUACGUAGGGCGCGAGCGUUGUCCGGAAUUAUUGGGCGUAAAGGGCUUGUAGGCGGUUGGUCGCGUCUGCCGUGAAAUCCUCUGGCUUAACUGGGGGCGUGCGGUGGGUACGGGCUGACUUGAGUGCGGUAGGGGAGACUGGAACUCCUGGUGUAGCGGUGGAAUGCGCAGAUAUCAGGAAGAACACCGGUGGCGAAGGCGGGUCUCUGGGCCGUUACUGACGCUGAGGAGCGAAAGCGUGGGGAGCGAACAGGAUUAGAUACCCUGGUAGUCCACGCUGUAAACGUUGGGCACUAGGUGUGGGGGCCACCCGUGGUUUCUGCGCCGUAGCUAACGCUUUAAGUGCCCCGCCUGGGGAGUACGGCCGCAAGGCUAAAACUCAAAGGAAUUGACGGGGGCCCGCACAAGCGGCGGAGCAUGCGGAUUAAUUCGAUGCAACGCGAAGAACCUUACCAAGGCUUGACAUGCACGGCGGCACUGCAGAGAUGUGGUGGCAUUUAGUUGGUCGUGUGCAGGUGGUGCAUGGUUGUCGUCAGCUCGUGUCGUGAGAUGUUGGGUUAAGUCCCGCAACGAGCGCAACCCUUGCCCUAUGUUGCCAGCACGUGAUGGUGGGGACUCGUGGGGGACUGCCGGGGUUAAC
Molecule: ribosomal RNA, 1091 nt
Filed under: uncultured bacterium
Lineage: Bacteria
Description: bacterial SSU rRNA
Rfam family: Bacterial small subunit ribosomal RNA
Source: RNAcentral